RNAcentral lists this ribosomal RNA (442 nucleotides) under uncultured bacterium. RNAcentral describes it as "partial 16S ribosomal RNA". It matches the Rfam family "Bacterial small subunit ribosomal RNA", at positions 354 to 796 of the family's 1533-position model. The record is from RNAcentral.
GUGGGGAAUAUUGCGCAAUGGCCGAAAGGCUGACGCAGCGACGCCGCGUGGGGGAUGAAGCAUUUCGGUGUGUAAACCCCUGUUGCCCGGGACGAACAAGCGAUUUCGAUCGCUCUGACGGUACCGGGUGAGGAAGCACCGGCUAACUCCGUGCCAGCAGCCGCGGUAAUACGGAGGGUGCGAGCGUUGUCCGGAAUCACUGGGCGUAAAGGGCGCGUAGGCGGUGACUUAAGCGUGUGGUGAAAGCCCGGGGCUCAACCCCGGGUCUGCCGUGCGAGCUGGGUCACUCGAGCACUGUAGAGGCAGGUGGAAUUCCGGGUGUAGCGGUGGAAUGCGUAGAGAUCCGGAAGAACACCGGUGGCGAAGGCGGCCUGCUGGGCAGUAGCUGACGCUGAGGCGCGACAGCGUGGGGAGCAAACAGGAUUAGAUACCCUGGUAGUCC